This is a long non-coding RNA of Mus musculus (house mouse), 373 nucleotides long. RefSeq annotates it as predicted gene, 31748. The transcript has 2 exons. NCBI's taxonomy places the organism in Eukaryota, Metazoa, Chordata, Mammalia, Rodentia, Muridae. The record is from RefSeq and is a predicted model, not a curated record.
AUCGGUAGUUUUGCAGACACUAAUCAACCAGCUUUAGCAUUCCGAAGGCUGGGGAUCUGGUAGGAGGGCCCAUUCCAGGGAAUGAACAGUUAACACUCAAGGUCCCCGCUUCUAGUCAGCUUUGCUUGGGAAUAAUCUUGGAGAUUGGGAAGUGUGUUUCUCUUCUGAAAACAACGAAGAGCUAAGUGUAUGCUGCUCUUGUUCUCUGAAGAUCCAAGUCCACCCUGUCCUGGAUAGACCAAGACAAUCGUAGCAGGGACAGAACCCUUCACUAAGCAGCUCCCUGGGACAUUUACUUGGGGUUUGUAAGAUCUUUAGCUGAUGUCACAGCAAGAGUGCUCAAGUGAACUGAAUAAAGCUUUGCAACACUGCC